This 856-nucleotide ribosomal RNA is filed under the name Phylloporia nodostipitata. RNAcentral describes it as "eukaryotic LSU rRNA". It matches the Rfam family "Eukaryotic large subunit ribosomal RNA", at positions 82 to 915 of the family's 3401-position model. The record is from RNAcentral. Lineage: Eukaryota; Fungi; Basidiomycota; Agaricomycetes; Hymenochaetales; Hymenochaetaceae.
AGUAACUGCGAGUGAAGCGGGAAGAGCUCAAAUUUGUAAUCUGGCGGUCUCCGGCCGUCCGAGUUGUAAUCUGUAGAGGCGUCGUCCGCGUCGGCCCGUGUACAAGUCUCCUGGAAUGGAGCGUCGUAGAGGGUGAGAAUCCCGUCCAUGACACGGACCGCCGAUGCUCUGUGAGGUGCCCUCAAAGAGUCGCGUUGUUUGGGAAUGCAGCGCAAAAUGGGUGGUAAAUUCCAUCUAAGGCUAAAUAUUGGCGAGAGACCGAUAGCGAACAAGUACCGUGAGGGAAAGAUGAAAAGCACUUUGAAAAGAGAGUUAAACAGUACGUGAAAUCGUUGAAAGGGAAACGCUUGAAGUCAGUCGCGUCUCGAGGCACUCAGCCUGGCUUCGGCUUGGUGUACUUGCCUGGAGAUGGGUCAACGUCAAUUUUGGCUGGCGGACAAGGACAAGGGGAACGUGGCGUUGCUUCGGUGACGUGUUAUAGCCCCUUGUUGAACACGUCAGCUGGGAUUGAGGACUGCAGCAUGUCCCAUGGGGCCGGGGGUUCGCCUCACGUAACGUGCUUAGGAUGUUGGCACAAUGGCUUUAAGCGACCCGUCUUGAAACACGGACCAAGGAGUCUAACAUGCUUGCGAGUGUUCGGGUGGAAAACCCUUGCGCGUAAUGAAAGUGAAAGUUGGGAGCCUCUGCGAGGGGGUGCACCGACGCCCGGCCCUGACGUUCUCUGACGGUGCUGCGGCAGAGCAAGUGUGUUGGGACCCGAAAGAUGGUGAACUAUGCCUGAAUAGGGUGAAGCCAGAGGAAACUCUGSUGGAGGCUCGCAGCGAUUCUGACGUGCAAAUCGAUCGUCAAAUUUGGG